UUUUUUCCCCAUGGAUACUACUGUGGCAGUGCCUGGUUAGCAUUUGUGAGCUGCUGUAUCAAGUCUAGGGCAUUCAAAGAAGAAAUCUUCUGAGCCAGUGCCAGUCCCUCUUCCAAGUCGUCCACUGUCCCACCUCAACAAUGAAGACCUCCAGGACCUGCCUCUCACAGUUCAUCCUACACACACAUUGGCAACACAAUCAUCUUCCUAAAACAAUAACCAAAAUUUUCCUCUAUGCCAAAACCUGCGAUGCCUAUACAAUAAAGUUCAUAUUCAUAUAAAUUAA
Non-coding RNA from Ictidomys tridecemlineatus (thirteen-lined ground squirrel), 286 nucleotides. The record is from RefSeq and is a predicted model, not a curated record. Lineage: Eukaryota; Metazoa; Chordata; Mammalia; Rodentia; Sciuridae.